Molecule: long non-coding RNA, 751 nt
Organism: Siniperca chuatsi (mandarin fish)
Lineage: Eukaryota; Metazoa; Chordata; Actinopteri; Centrarchiformes; Sinipercidae
Exons: 2
Source: RefSeq, a predicted model, not a curated record
UGUGGUUUUCUGAAUAGAAAAGAUCCUUGUACAAGAUGCUUUUGAUCCUCCAAUUCUUUAAUAAAUGCCAAAUUAAGGAAUAGCUUCUCUCCAGACUUUUCUUUUGCAAAUAAACGAACGCGCUGACAAAUUUGGUGACCCCCGACGUGAUUUGCUGAGGAAGAAAAGGAGAAAAUUUGACGCUGUCCACUGCUGAGGUUUUUCCGGUAGGACCGGCUCUGUGUUUCUGGACUCCUCGUCACUCACCGGGAUCCCUCAAAGAAAAGGUACAGCUGGCCGAACCCGAAGCAACCAUCACCGAGACUCCAGCAGUACAGGUAGGGGAUUGGGUACGAGUGAAAGUUCACAAGAGAAAGUGGACUGAUCCCAGGUGGACAGGACCUUAUGAAGUGGUUGAGUGUACCUCCCACGCAGUCCAGGUAAAAGGAGAAGCUGGAGCAAUUUGGCACCACCUGACACAUUGUGUACCAACCCCACCACCCUUACGCACAUUAGCGGAGGUUAGAACUGAAUUGGCUGAACACGAGUAAGGGCUCUAAAAGGUAAAACUAAGAACUUGACCCAAAGAGCUGAGAAGCCCUAACUGUCAUGGCCGACCCUAGGGGUCAACCGUGGCACCCUUUUCGCCAACCAGGCCUCUGUGGCCUAAGAGGAACAAUUGGGACCAACUUCCCUAAUGGCUUGGCAGAAUAGGAUGGCUUUAGAUAUGCUGUUGGCAGAAAAGGGCGGACUUUGCAAAAUGUUUGGGGAU